Molecule: ribosomal RNA, 454 nt
Filed under: uncultured bacterium
Lineage: Bacteria
Description: partial 16S ribosomal RNA
Rfam family: Bacterial small subunit ribosomal RNA
Source: RNAcentral
GAUGAACGCUGACCGAAUGCUUAACACAUGCAAGUCUACUUGAACUUCGGUUUGGGUGGCGGACGGGUGAGUAACGCGUAAAGAACUUACCUCACAGUUAGGGACAACAUUUUGAAACGAAUGCUAAUACCUGAUAUUAUGAUUUUAGGGCAUCCUAAGAUUAUGAAAGCUAUAUGCGCUGUGAGAGAGCUUUGCGUCCCAUUAGCUAGUUGGAGAGGUAACGGCUCACCAAGGCGAUGAUGGGUAGCCGGCCUGAGAGGGUGAACGGCCACAAGGGGACUGAGACACGGCCCUUACUCCUACGGGAGGCAGCAGUGGGGAAUAUUGGACAAUGGACCAAAAGUCUGAUCCAGCAAUUCUGUGUGCACGAUGACGUUUUUCGGAAUGUAAAGUGCUUUCAGUUGGGAAGAAAAAAAUGACGGUACCAACAGAAGAAGAGACGGCUAAAUACGUG